UACGUAGGUGACAAGCGUUGUCCGGAUUUACUGGGCGUAAAGAGCGCGCAGGCGGUCGUUCAAGUCGAGUGUGAAAGCCCCCGGCUCAACUGGGGAGGGUCAUUCGAUACUGAUCGACUCGAAGGCAGGAGAGGGAAGUGGAAUUCCCGGUGUAGUGGUGAAAUGCGUAGAUAUUCGCAAGAACACCAGUGGCGAAGGCGGCUCACUGGCCCGAUACUGACGCUGAGGCACGAAAGCGUGGGGAGCAAACAGG
Molecule: ribosomal RNA, 253 nt
Filed under: uncultured bacterium
Lineage: Bacteria
Description: partial 16S ribosomal RNA
Rfam family: Bacterial small subunit ribosomal RNA
Source: RNAcentral